GGCAAGCGUUGUCCGGAAUUAUUGGGCGUAAAGCGCGCGCAGGUGGUUCCUUAAGUCUGAUGUGAAAGCCCACGGCUCAACCGUGGAGGGUCAUUGGAAACUGGGGAACUUGAGUGCAGAAGAGGAAAGUGGAAUUCCAAGUGUAGCGGUGAAAUGCGUAGAGAUUUGGAGGAACACCAGUGGCGAAGGCGACUUUCUGGUCUGUAACUGACACUGAGGCGCGAAAGCGUGGGGAGCAAACAGGAUUAGAUACCCUGGUAGUCCACGCCGUAAACGAUGAGUGCUAAGUGUUAGAGGGUUUCCGCCCUUUAGUGCUGCAGCUAACGCAUUAAGCACUCCGCCUGGGGAGUACGGCCGCAAGGCUGAAACUCAAAGGAAUUGACGGGGGCCCGCACAAGCGGUGGAGCAUGUGGUUUAAUUCGAAGCGACGCGAAGAACCUUACCAGGUCUUGACAUCCUCUGACAACCCUAGAGAUAGGGCUUUCCCCUUCGGGGGACAGAGU
RNAcentral lists this ribosomal RNA (503 nucleotides) under uncultured Bacillota bacterium. RNAcentral describes it as "bacterial SSU rRNA". It matches the Rfam family "Bacterial small subunit ribosomal RNA", at positions 533 to 1032 of the family's 1533-position model. The record is from RNAcentral. Lineage: Bacteria; Bacillati; Bacillota.